ACGAAAAAUGGUGAUGUUAGUUGUCAUUCUCAGUUUUUGCUGGAGUGAAUUUCAUAGUAUUGGGCCAGCUCCUGAAAAAGCCCUGUCUGCUGCAUCUGCUAGUUUUACUUCUGAUGUGUAGACAGUUGUUCCUGAGGAACACAGCUACUGAAGUCUGAGAGAGUAAGAUGGUAUAUUGGGCCCAUUUCCUUUACAGCUUUGAAAAUAAAGACCGAGAUUUGAUUCAGUGUUCUGUUGAGGAAUGAGCGGAGUGAGUGAAACAUAGGACUGAUGUACUCAAGUGAACCUGUAUUACUGAGGAGGUGUGCUGCUGUGUUCUGUAACUCUUGCAGAUUUUGCAGGGCAGAAGCAUUCAAGUCUAAAUACGUUGGAUUGCGAUGAUUCGAGCAAGAGUUAAUGAUGGCCUAUGUGGUUGAGGCCAAAUUGUAAAUACAAAUGAUGGGCUGUAGCCUUACCAGAUUAAGGAAAUGGAGGAAAAAAACCUUCUUCGCUGCCAGUCUGAUCAAAAAUCUCAAGAAAUCCAUCAGCUGCAAGAAGAACUGAAAACAGCUAAACAGUUUCUGAAGGAGACCCAGAAUUAUGCGGAAGAGAUGAAAACCUGGAAGCCUCUUUCAACCAGGGAAUGGGACCCAAAAUUUAGGUCACAAUGGAGUGGGAAUUGUGCCUGUCUGUUUAUCAGGUACCCAGCCGCCCCGGAGGAGGAAGAGGCUGGACUGGGGGGAGCUAAAGAGCUCUGAGCCUACCCCGCAAAGGGUCAAGCGCCGACCCGGAAGUAUAAAGGCGGGCCUUCCGAGCUCAGUGGGAGGUCAGCGACCAGAGCGAGCGGACGUCCUUCCGGGAGCUUGGCGCCAGGAGGCUUCUACCCUCCCCCGUGCUCGCUACCCCGAGGAGCUGCCGGAGCUCCCCUGGACCGCCGUUCCGGAGGAGUUGCCGGACCUGCCACCCAGCCCCGUCCGAGACGAACCCAUGCACCUGGACCCGGUGGAGGAUGACCCCAGGAUCCAGGUGCUGAUGAGGUUGCCAUCUACGUACAUUCACUGACCCAGGACAAUGAGCCAGACGGACUCCCAGAGGUGGUCAAAAAAGGUAGAUGAUACUCAACAGUGCCAAGCAGAAACAGCUAUUGAACCCAUGGAAUCUAGUUCAAGAUCUCCUCUUUUCAUAAAUAAUCAACUCACAAAAGCUGUUGCUGAGAACUCUGUGUGUGUUGAGAUUCUCCCCAAAGGCAGAUGUUCCUUGAGCACACAAACUACCUGGUCAAAAUGAACAAGACAAACCGUAUGAUACAGUAAACCUAGUAGUAUAUGGGCCGUACCAUGAAUCAAACCCUAACCCUGCCUCUUGACCCCUUACACUCCUCCCACCUGUCUCCAGAAGUCCCGCCCCAGGGGGUAUUACUUCUGGGGUACAGAUGACCGGAAGCAAGGUGUGUGUCACG
Mauremys reevesii (Reeves's turtle) is the source of this 1438-nucleotide long non-coding RNA. RefSeq lists it as uncharacterized. The record is from RefSeq and is a predicted model, not a curated record. The transcript has 5 exons. Lineage: Eukaryota; Metazoa; Chordata; Testudines; Geoemydidae.